AUCUGAGACACGAUUCCAGGCCCUACGGGGCGCAGCAGGCGCGAAAACUUUACAAUGCAGGAAACUGUGAUAAGGGAACCCCGAGUGCCCGUAUAUGCGGGCUGUCCGGAUGUUUAAAACGCAUCCGAAGAAAGGGCCGGGCAAGACCGGUGCCAGCCGCCGCGGUAAUACCGGCGGCUCGAGUGGUGGCCACUUUUAUUGGGCUUAAAGCGUUCGUAGCUUGAAUAAUAAGUCUCUUGGGAAAUCUGCAGGCUUAACCUGCAGGCGUUUAAGAGAAACUGUUGUUCUAGGAACCGGAAGAGGUGAGAGGUACUCCGGGGGUAGGAGUGAAAUCCUGUAAUCCCCGGGGGACCACCGAUGGCGAAGGCAUCUCACCAGGACGGCUUCGACAGUGAGGAACGAAAGCUGGGGGAGCGAACCGGAUUAGAUACCCGGGUAGUCCCAGCCGUAAACAAUGCGCGUUUAGGUGAA
This 471-nucleotide ribosomal RNA is filed under the name Methanoplanus sp. enrichment culture clone CIBANICRA-65. RNAcentral's name for it is "bacterial SSU rRNA". It matches the Rfam family "Archaeal small subunit ribosomal RNA", at positions 301 to 776 of the family's 1478-position model. Lineage: Archaea; Methanobacteriati; Methanobacteriota; Methanomicrobia; Methanomicrobiales; Methanomicrobiaceae. The record is from RNAcentral.